CUUUGUUUAAUUUUUAGGAAAGUACUUGAAGAAAAACUUGGUUGGAAUACUUCCAAAUGGAAAUGCAUAGAGCCACCUCAUUUAAAACAACAAGAUAACUAUAAUUGUGGUAUCUUUGUUUGUCAUUUUGGUAGGUGCUUGGCAGAAGAAUUAGAUGCUUGCCAGCCAUUCAUGCCAAGGGAUAUUAGGAUAGAUAUGCUGUCUAAACUUUUUGGAUCCUGUUAUGAUGAUAUGGGGAUGCAAUGGAAUCAAGAUGAAUGCAAGAAAUGCCAUAACAGCAAAGAUACCUUCAACAUGCAAUGCUGCAUGAAGUGUGGGCAAUAUUUUCAUAGAAAAUGCUUACCAAACAGUAAACAGGAAAUUGUUUGUAAUUAAUUAAGCUAUAUCCUUUGUAAACUUAUUUAAAAAUCCACAAAACAAUGAAAGCAUUCUAGUUCCUUCAUGAAUUCAUUUGUUUUCCAUUGUCAAUUAAUAUCAACUUGUUAUGAUCUUUCACGGAUUUAGUGAAUGCACUUUUCAACAAACUGGUGUUGCAAACAGUACAUAAUUUAUUUAAUUGUUCACACUCUAUGCAAAUAUUAAAUACAUUAGUAGCAAAAGGAAGAAUAGAACACUCACCUU
Molecule: long non-coding RNA, 621 nt
Organism: Exaiptasia diaphana
Lineage: Eukaryota; Metazoa; Cnidaria; Anthozoa; Actiniaria; Aiptasiidae
Exons: 3
Source: RefSeq, a predicted model, not a curated record